AGUAAUGUAUGGGGAUCUGCCCGAUAGAGGGGGAUAACUACUGGAAACGGUGGCUAAUACCGCAUAAUGUCUACGGACCAAAGCAGGGGCUCUUCGGACCUUGCACUAUCGGAUGAACCCAUAUGGGAUUAGCUAGUAGGUGGGGUAAAGGCUCACCUAGGCGACGACCUCUAGCUGGUCUGAGAGGAUGAUCAGCCACACUGGGACUGAGACACGGCCCAG
RNAcentral lists this ribosomal RNA (222 nucleotides) under uncultured bacterium. Its description in RNAcentral is "partial 16S ribosomal RNA". It matches the Rfam family "Bacterial small subunit ribosomal RNA", at positions 109 to 334 of the family's 1533-position model. The record is from RNAcentral.